GCCCGACGAGCGGGGCGGGGGGUGGGGGGGGGCUGGAUGGGUAGAGAACAAAGGCUUUAAGAACCUGUUUAAGAGCAGAACGCGUCUAGGCGUUGGGGUUCACUUUUUUGUCCCCCAGCAGGGUUUUCACCCAACUUGGAUCUGGGACCGCCCCCCUCAAAACCAAAGUGCUCACUGGAGGCAAAGUUCGCCUCCGGCUUGGACGGCAAGAAGAAUGCUGCAGCCUCCUCUCCACUUUUCUCUGCUCGCCAAAGGCGUACUUUUAUCCCCCCAAAAGCCCCCAUGCCGAAACUCCCGCUGGCCUCCGCAGCGUCCCGCGGACCGCACCUCUAUCAGCGAUGGAAACAGCCGAAGGCCGCUCUUCCUGAAGGUCUAUUGACCGCUCACCCUCCUCCUGCCGCCUUGGCGCCCUGCCCGCGACGGCGGGAAACCGGGACAUAGACCUGGCCCGGAGCGGAGACUGCACACCUAGCAUGGAGCCCAACGUGGAGCUUAAAGUCACAACCCUGAGAUCAAGACCUGAGCUGAGAUCAAGAGUUAGAUGAUCGAGGCACCCCAAAUGCUGAAGAGAGUACCCUGGAUGAGAAACACAUAUACCCCAAUAACUGGAAAAGUAUAUCCUCCUUCUUCAAGUUGCGCUGAGGAUAAAAUUCAAACCCCACCAAGAUCGCACAGACCUUAUGAUCUGGCCACUACUGAUUUCUCCAAGCUCAACUCCCAAUACUGCCCCCCUUCACUGUAAGUUGUAGUCACACUGGUUCCUUUCCAUUUCUGAAACACUCCAAAAUUUUCCCUGCCUACAGCCUUUGCCCUUCUAGUUUACCUGAGAGCAAUGCUUUUCCUCAGAUCCCCCUAUGGCUGGUUACUUCUUACCAAUCCUGUCUCAGCUAAAUGUCACCUCCCCACACAGGCUUUCUGUGAUCUCUGUGCCUACCAUUGCAACCCUUCCCCUUUUAUGCCCCCCCACCACCACCACGGUCCCUAGCUAUCCCUUAGCCAGUCUUAUCACUAUAUAAUCUCUUGUUUACUUUUUUAUUAUCUGAUUCCCAAACUGGAAUAAAAGUCCAACAUAGCUACAGCCCCAGCAAUGACCACAGAGUUAAUACUCAAUAAAUACUUGUGAAAUCAAGUGAAUGGGAUGGGGCGAGAAAUGACAUAUGAGCUGCUCUGCACUAGAGAGAAGAGAUACAAAUAGGGAGUGCGAUCUGAGAUAAAUGGAACCUUCCCUUGUGCCCACAAUGUAACUUCCAGAAAGCACCAUUAAAGUACCAGUCAGUGCAUAUAUUUUUGGUUUUGUGUGUCCCUUUACCCCAACUCCAGUGUAGACCACGAACAACUUGAAAACAAGAACCAUCUUGUUCUUGUUGGCAUCCCCACUGUCCCAAUAAAUAUUCACCGGAUCCCUCAAUUCCCUGCUGAGGGAAAUCGGCAGUUCAGAGAAAAAAAUAGAGAUUUCCUGUUAGAUGAGCUUUACUUCAUUGGCUGGGUAAGCGCCUGCCAGAAUGAGCAGUUUCUAUAAGAAAACAAAAAGAUACACCGUAUGGUAGUGGCAGCACCAAAAGAUAGCCUUAGGUGAAUCCUUUAGCCCUCCAUCUGUAGUCUCCAUCAGCACCCUCCAAGUAACCUCCAAAAAGACUUCAGGCAAUCCCCCAGCCAGAUGGCCGGCGUGAGCUCUUCCUGCCUAGAAAUGCUACCACCAUGUCUGUCCAUGGAAAUCAGACAGAAACAGCGACUACUUGACAAAAGUCCAGAAACAGACUUAUAAAAACAGCCUAGCUGAAAGUAAGGGUGCACAAAGGAAGCACCAGUAAAGACCAGCAUUCAACAAGGAGUGACUGGAAAGAACUGUUUCAUGUUUUAAACACUGCCAAGCUGAGUAACAUGAGACCGAACUUGUUAUUUUGCUUGACUAUAUAUAGUUUGCAUCCUGGAAUUCACUCAUACUAUAUAUAGUAGAGUUUUAUUCAUGCACUCCAACUGAUUAUGUGUGCUGGGCUGAAGUGUUACAGUGGUGCCAGAAAUGAAGAGAAAAUGGAAAUCUUCCACAGACCUAUGGGCAUGUUCUUCACGCCCACUGCCAUUUUCACUAAUGCGUGGCGGCGGCAGAAAGCUAAUUGAGACCAGCCAUGGAAUAACAGGCUAGAACCUCUGCUGCAACGAAUGCCUCUUUUCAGUCUUUUCCUUGUGGAGUAUUUAUUUAUUUAAGAACUGGCUAUGGUCAUCAUUCAGAAAUACAAAGAGGGUUUAAAGGCCCAAAUAAUUACCCAGCUUUUAUAACAAAAGAAUAACACAAAAAUAGUUUCUUGUCCUGUCUCACUCAAGAAAGCCAGUUCUAUUAAACUGCUCAUCAUUAGCUGUUUCAUAAAUCUCAGUCUUUGGGAUUUAAGUAAUUUUUAUUUAACUGCUGCUCUUUCUUGAUUAAAAUAGCAAUUGUUCUGACUUGCUUCCUAAAGUAAAAUGUUCUCUGAAUAGCCUGUUUUAGGCUGAGAAACUCAUUUUAAUUUCGGAGUCUCAGGUCUCUUUUAAAAAGCUACUUUUGGUCAUCUCCUUAAAACUGGAGAUGUCUGGUAAAGUUCCUAAAGGGUCUUUACUGAGAGGGUAGUGUGGUAGACAUAUUUAGUGUUUUUACUGCCCAGCAUCUAUCAUCCCUUAUUGACAAUAUACCCCAGUUUCCCUUUGGGGUAUUAUUUCUCUCCUUUCUACCAACACACUUCCCAUGAAGCACACUUCACUCCUGUGCCCACAGCACAGCCAAUGGUAGCAUGCUAUCUCUUUGAUUACAGGGAUGGAUUGGGAGUUGAGCACAUGGUUCAAAAUAGGCCAAUCAAAACCCAUAAGACUCGGGCAGCUGGGUGGCUGAGUCAGUUAAACAUCUGACUCUUGAUUUCAGCUCAGGUCAUGAUCUCAUGGUUCAUGAGUUCAAGCCCCACAUCAGGCUCCAUGCUGACAGUAUGGAGUCUGCUUGGGAUUCCCUCUCUCUCUCUCUCUCUCUCUAUCUCUCUCUCGGCCCCUCCCCCACUCUCUCACUCCUCAAAAUAAAUAAAUAAACUUAAAACCCAUAAGACUCAAUUCUGGGACUUUUACUGGAGCUCUUUGAGGAAAAGGUGGUGUUUUUUCUGUAAUUGGUUGUGGUGGUCUUGAUUGCCCAUAGCUGCCAUAGACCACUGGCAACUAUAGAACAGAACUAACUCAGGAAGUAGAGCUGAGGAUCCCGAUCCCGAUCUUCCAAGUAUUUUUUAUUUCAACUUAAUUUUGUUUUUCAUGAUUCCAAACUAAAAGGUAUACACAAAUAGAUUCUACUCUUUCUCUUGCCCCACUCCAGCUCUUUUCCUUAAUGGGUAAUAAUUUUUAUUGUUUUUGGUUUAUUCUUCCAGUGUUUCUUCAUGCAAAUAAAAUAAAAUAUGAAUAUAUUUUUUACUUCCCCCUUUUUGUUCUGCAUGCAUUUUAUUUCUUCAAUAUAUGUUCAUUCAAGGAAUACCCUUCUUUGAAAUUCUAUGGUGCCUUUGAUUAUUCCUGGUUGCUUUCCACAUAAUAUUUGAAAUGGCUCAGAGCCUUAUUUAGCAUAUCCUACCACUUCUCUGCUUUGUUACCCUGGAGACAUCAUGAUUUAAUACUGGAGAAUCCUAUUUCACCAGAAUUAGAGAAUUCAAAUUGAGGAGCUAAAAUGAGGGUCCAAUGCCAAACUAAAAAAAAGACUUUCUAGAAAGUCUAAUCUGAAUACUACCAAACAGAGACUAUUUCAGGCAGUGGGGGAAAAAUAGAAGGGGAUGCCAAGAAGCCUAAUUUUUUAGACCAAAAACAGAGAUUGGCAGUGACAGGUACCUGAGCAGAUAACCCAGAAAGAAGAGUAUACAUUGCUACCAAAUGAUCCAUUAUUUUGAAUAGAUGUCAAAUUCAGUUCUUUUGGUUGGUC
This is a long non-coding RNA of Acinonyx jubatus (cheetah), 3913 nucleotides long. RefSeq lists it as uncharacterized. Lineage: Eukaryota; Metazoa; Chordata; Mammalia; Carnivora; Felidae. The transcript has 3 exons. The record is from RefSeq and is a predicted model, not a curated record.